AUCAACAUCAGUGACACGAGGGAGAGAGCAGAUAGAGAGAAAGAGGAGAUUAAGAAAGUGAGAGGGGUGAGAGCAAGAGGACAAUCUGCAUGUGCAAGGUUCACUUUUAGUAAUACUAAUACCAGUCUUGUCAGGUGCUCGACAUCAACAAUCGCUCUCCUCGGAGUUGUUCGUGUGAACUCAACAUGCUGGAGAAGAAGAAGACACGGCGGAGAGAAAGUUGGAGAAGAAGAUGCAAUGGAAGAAGUCGGAGAAAAAGUUGGGAGAAAGGAAGAGGAAAAAGGAAAAGGAAAAAAAGGAAAAAAUAUGAAGAAAAAAAAGAAGCAAGGAUAAUGUUGUAAUUUUACGUAAUCAUGUCAUCAUCAAAGGGUCAUUUGACUUUUUUUUCAAAAUUUAGAUCUUCCGCUAUUUUGGGUCUUUAAAAUGGAUCUUUUGAGCAGUUA
Non-coding RNA from Benincasa hispida (wax gourd), 443 nucleotides. NCBI's taxonomy places the organism in Eukaryota, Viridiplantae, Streptophyta, Magnoliopsida, Cucurbitales, Cucurbitaceae. The record is from RefSeq and is a predicted model, not a curated record.